UCGGGAAUUUUGGGCAAUGGGCGAAAGCCUGACCCAGCAACGCCGCGUGAGGGAUGAAGUAUUUCGGUAUGUAAACCUCGAAAGAAUGGGAAGAAUAAAUGACGGUACCAUUUAUAAGCUACGGCUAACUACGUGCCAGCAGCCGCGGUAAUACGUAGGGAGCAAGCGUUGUUCGGAUUUACUGGGCGUAAGGGGCGCGUAGGCGGCGCGGUAAGUCACUUGUGAAAUCUCUGAGCUUAACUCAGAACGGCCAAGUGAUACUGCUGAGCUAGAGUGCGGAAGAGGCAACCGUAAUUCUUGGUGUAGCGGUGAAAUGCGUAGAUAUCAAGAGGAACACCUGAGGCGAAGGCGGGUUGCUGGGCAGACACUGACGCU
RNAcentral lists this ribosomal RNA (375 nucleotides) under uncultured bacterium. RNAcentral's name for it is "bacterial SSU rRNA". It matches the Rfam family "Bacterial small subunit ribosomal RNA", at positions 355 to 747 of the family's 1533-position model. The record is from RNAcentral.